UUGAUAAAACUUUCAACAACGGAUCUCUUGGCUCUGGCAUCGAUGAAGAACGCAGCGAAAUGCGAUAAGUAAUGUGAAUUGCAGAAUUUAGUGAAUCAUCGAAUCUUUGAACGCACAUUGCGCCCCUUGGUAUUCCGAGGGGCAUGCCUGUUCG
RNAcentral lists this ribosomal RNA (154 nucleotides) under Erysiphe glycines. RNAcentral describes it as "5.8S ribosomal RNA". It matches the Rfam family "5.8S ribosomal RNA". Rfam says of the family: 5.8S ribosomal RNA (5.8S rRNA) is a component of the large subunit of the eukaryotic ribosome. It is transcribed by RNA polymerase I as part of the 45S precursor that also contains 18S and 28S rRNA. Functionally, it is thought that 5.8S rRNA may be involved in ribosome translocation. Lineage: Eukaryota; Fungi; Ascomycota; Leotiomycetes; Helotiales; Erysiphaceae. The record is from RNAcentral.